This 253-nucleotide ribosomal RNA is filed under the name uncultured bacterium. RNAcentral's name for it is "partial 16S ribosomal RNA". It matches the Rfam family "Bacterial small subunit ribosomal RNA", at positions 524 to 776 of the family's 1533-position model. The record is from RNAcentral.
UACGUAGGGCGCGAGCGUUAUCCGGAAUUAUUGGGCGUAAAGAGCUCGUAGGCGGUUUGUCACGUCUGCUGUGAAAACUGGAGGCUCAACCUCCAGCCUGCAGUGGGUACGGGCAGACUAGAGUGCGGUAGGGGAGAUUGGAAUUCCUGGUGUAGCGGUGGAAUGCGCAGAUAUCAGGAGGAACACCGAUGGCGAAGGCGGGUCUCUGGGCAGUAACUGACGCUGAGGAGCGAAAGCGCGGGGAGCGAACAGG